RNAcentral lists this ribosomal RNA (434 nucleotides) under uncultured Clostridium sp. Its description in RNAcentral is "partial 16S ribosomal RNA". It matches the Rfam family "Bacterial small subunit ribosomal RNA", at positions 341 to 792 of the family's 1533-position model. Lineage: Bacteria; Bacillati; Bacillota; Clostridia; Eubacteriales; Clostridiaceae. The record is from RNAcentral.
ACGGGAGGCAGCAGUGGGGGAUAUUGCACAAUGGGGGAAACCCUGAUGUAGCGACGCCGCGUGAGUGAUGAAGUAUUUCGGUAUGUAAAGCUCUAUCAGCAGGAAAGAUAAUGACGGUACCUGACUAAGAAGCACCGGCUAAAUACGUGCCAGCAGCCGCGGUAAUACGUAUGGUGCAAGCGUUAUCCGGAUUUACUGGGUGUAAAGGGAGCGUAGACGGCUUUGCAAGUCUGAAGUGAAAGCUCGGGGCUCAACUCCGGAACUGCUUUGGAAACUGUAGAGCUAGAGUGCAGGAGAGGUAAGUGGAAUUCCUAGUGUAGCGGUGAAAUGCGUAGAUAUUAGGAGGAACACCAGUGGCGAAGGCGGCUUACUGGACUGUAACUGACGUUGAGGCUCGAAAGUGCGGGUAGCAAACAGGAUUAGAUACCCUGGUA